Tachysurus fulvidraco (yellow catfish) is the source of this 516-nucleotide long non-coding RNA. RefSeq lists it as uncharacterized. The record is from RefSeq and is a predicted model, not a curated record. Lineage: Eukaryota; Metazoa; Chordata; Actinopteri; Siluriformes; Bagridae. The transcript is spliced from 2 exons.
UUAACAGCUGUUUUACCAAAAUAAUCCCUUCAUUAUCCAGUUUUGAUACAAAAAAGUGAUUUGUUUUUAAAUAAUAUGUCUUUGUUAUUCCAAAUGCAAUAACUGUGUGGUGAAAAAUUGUGUUAAUAAUGUCAAAUAUUAAGUCUGAUAAUGAUAACGAUCUUCUGUGACGUCAGCAGUAACGACGCGAACUUGAUCCCGUGACGCCAUCCAACUGCGACGGAAGAAGACUUGCUAAGCUAGUUUUUAACCGCUCGGACUGGUUUAAUUUCCCUUUAUUCUUUUACAUUUAUUUACACAUUAUGUUGUGUAUUUCUCUUCUAAACCCGAAUAUUGUGUUAAAUAUGGUCGCGGGAAUGAGGUCAUUUAAUCGUGAUAUGACUUUUAGCCCGUUUUGCUAACAGGAGUUUUGUUGUGUAGCGAAGAAAAAGGUGUUGUUUAGUUGUGUAGGGAAGGAAAAAGGUGUUGUGUUGUUGUGUAGGGAAGAAAAAGGUGUUGUGUUGUUGUGUAGGGAAG